RNAcentral lists this long non-coding RNA (7012 nucleotides) under Gallus gallus (chicken). Lineage: Eukaryota; Metazoa; Chordata; Aves; Galliformes; Phasianidae. The record is from RNAcentral.
UUUCCCUCUUUCUCUCUUUCCAUGGUACAUCCUUGUCCUAGGAGCUGAAGGCUCCAGUCCUCUUUACAGUCACUUCCAUUUCCACCAGUAUCAUCCCAGUCUUUAUCUCUGAUCUUCUUUAGCCAAACCAAGCUGACUUCCUCUUUUCUCCUUUACCCAUGCCCUUCCACCUGCUCCAAUCUCCUGCCCUAGCAGCCUUGUUUCAGGUCUUCAGUUAGCAGAUCAGUCACCACUUGCUCCGUAGAGAAUCUCUUCUUGAUAUUUUGUGUCUCCUUUCCUCUACCCUUUACUGAUCAAAAUAUGUACUGUCCUCUUAGUAUUUAAUUCAGCAGUGAGAGAAGGAAGGGGAGGCCACGUUAGGCACUCUGUGUUGGAGAGUGGUUGGUAGGAAUAGCCUCUGAAUAUUAUGUACGAUCACUUAAAAAAAGCAGAGCCCUUUGAAGAGGUGAUAAUAAUGAAGACAGAUGACCGAAGUAGACCAUGUCAGCACCCUUCGUAUCAAAGCUGUCAGAGUAACUAUAAGCAAAUAAGACAUUUCCUCAGUAAACUGAGGCAGAUUCUUAAGGUUCGAGUGCUGCUGAACUUUUUUGGUAUUGUUCCUGAGACCUUCAGUAUUAAGCUUAACCUGAAUACCAGAGGAAUGCAUCUACUCAUCAUGACUGUAUAAAACCUUGUCUGCAAGAGAAGUUUUUCAAUUUUAUGCAAAUAGAAAUACCAGUACCCUCUUAUUUAUUUAUGACUAAAAUCCUAGAGUCACAUCAUAACUCUUUGCAGUGAAAUUGGUAUCGUCACUAGUGACACAAGCAGUAGUCCUCUAGGAAUUAAUGAACAGAGCGGCCUUGUGUCAUGAAUAUGCUAAGUAGUUCUUGAGUGACUCCACCUAAGUAUGAUGGAAUUUAGUUAUUGAAUCACUGUAAGAACUAAAUAAAUGACAAUGUGUUGAAUGUCAGGAUCCAGCUCUCAAAAGCAUGUUUUCUCUUGGGAAAACAGUAGAGCAGUUAAACAAAGGAGUACAGAAAAGAAGAAAGAGCGCAGACACGUUUUCACCUGCACAUCUCAUUUAAAGCUUUAAUAUGCUUUAAUUAAGCAGGAGAUCUAAAAUCAAUAUAGCAAGGUAGUAUAUAAAAAGGUGUUGUUUACACAGCUCACAAGUAGUGAGGAAAAUACUUAGCCUGCUCUCUUAAAGAAGUGAAGGCUCGUGAAAUCAUGCUGUUCAUACAUUUGUAUGUGUCCCACUCCCCCAGUCCCCCAGACUAACAUCUGACCAGUCUCAACCGUGUGCCACAAGUAAGGAUCUCACAGAUGCUAAGGUUCUAGAGACUGUGUAGAGUAGCUGACAUGGUGGGUGUAUUCUGGGAGCUGUUUUCUCAGUUGCAGCAGAACUAGCCAUAAAAUCACAGCACAACACUGAACCUGCUGUUAAAACCGCACCAGCUCUACUUGGCCCAACCUCUGCCUCCUCCUCUUCCUCCUUAGCUGCCUACUCCAGCUGUCUGAGGCUCUUACACAGGAAGCUUCCCUGCUCUUGUUGUAAUGCGUUUGUGUAUACGCUCUUAGGCAUGUUGACCCCACCGAGGGAAAGGCUUUGUAUGGUUUUCUCUCUUAUUGGACACCAGAAAAUCCAUAUAAAUACUCUGACCAAAGGAAACCUGAUUCAGAGUGUGUGCUUUCUAUGAUGUUAAAUCAGUAAGUCUUAAGACACAAUUCCAAAGGAAAUCAAAUAUCUUUAGAUUGAUAUUCACUGAACUGUGUUUUAAUUAAUCUAACUCACAACUUUUGUUUCCAGCAGGACAAUUAGUAUGUACUAGAAUGAUAGCUUGGGUAUCUUUCUCCUGGGAGAUGAUCAGCUUCAUUAUUUAAAUAAUCAGAUGAAAUCUGGGAUAAGCAAAUCUUAAUUUUGUAGUGAAUUAGAAUACCAUGCCCAGUUUUAUGUACCACAGUAAGAAAGAAGUGAAUCAGCUGGAGACAGUCCAGAGGACAGUGACAAGAAAGAUCAGUAGUGUAGAAAUUAUCACCUAAAAGAAAAAGAAAUGAAUGAAUCAUGCUAGUUGAGUUUGACACAGAGAAGAGAGAGCGAAGACGUUAUAACACAAGAGGUUCCUACAAGGAGGAAGAGAACAAUCUAUUUCUCUUGCCUGUGUUUGAUAGAACAAGAAGUAAUAGGCUUAAAUUACAGCCAGAAAGAUUUAUUUUAGAAAUUUCAGAAAACUUUAAUGGCGAGGAUGGGGAAUAGAUUGCUUGGCCAGCUUUUGGAGUUUCUGUCUCCAUUGGAGAUCUGUAAGAUCGGAGUUCUUGAAUAACUGCUUCCUGCAGGAAAAAGGAUGGAUUAGGUGUCUUGCAAGAUUCUUCCUAGCCCUACUGUAUAUCCUAGUAGUAAAACUGUAGUUUAAAAGAUAGGCUUUCUGUAUUCUUCUUAUGCUCUCAUCGUCUUCAAGCACUGAUAAAAUCCUUCUGUGGAAAAGAGAGUAAACAAUGCUAUUAGUUCUGUGAUCUUGUAAUGAAAAAUGGAAAUAUGUCUUGGAAUAAAGUACUUUUUGAUAUACCUUCAUUUAGAUAAUUGUACAGAAGCACUUGGAAAGUUGGCUGUAAUAGAGGAAAAACAUAUAAUGUGAUAAAAUUCAUUUGUUUAAAAUUACUUUUUCAGCACCUGUUACUGUUGUACUGAAUGAUAUCUCUAUAGAUCACUCAUGUGGGAACUUCAGAAAUCAAUUGAAUAAAAUUGCCCUAAUUGUAUUCAGAAUACUAAAUAUAGUUUUAGAUUUUAUAUUAUCAUUUCUUCUGUUUCAAAUGUUUCACUUAACUGGAAGUAUUAGAAGUAGCACUUUAGUUCUCAAAAUUUGUAUGUGCCAUGUGAAAUCCAUUAAAAAAAAUGAGAGGGAGAAAAUCUAGGCAUUUCAGAGAUAUUCCUAUUACAGCCUUUGCGUCUGAAUCAUCCAGAAUCAAAUGGUUGGGCUGCAGAGGAUGGCUCCAGACGUGUAAAAAACUGUUCUCCAACAGAUACUCCUGACGCAGAGCUUUGAAUCCAUUUGUUUAGUUCUGCAACCCUAAUUUUUUGCAGCUUGCGUUAGAAUUCGAAUGCAGUCUGUUUACAUUUCUGUAAUAUGACUGGGGCACAGCACUUCUACUGCAGGAUAUCACAGAAUUUUGACUCAAUUGUUCUUAGUACGAAGAUUGCUCCAAAAGUAAUGCCUUGUAUUUAUUUCCACGGAAACCACAGUGGAUACGAAGAGCACGAUAGCACUGUUUGAUAGAGCAAAUUGUCAUCUACGAAACGCUCCUUUUCAAUACGGUCACCGCUAUGCAUUUUCACUGGCAGCUUACAAGAGCCUGCAUGCUAUGCUUGUCAAAAUCUGCGCUGCUGGAGGUGACCCGCUGUUUCUGAGCUGCUAUGAUGAUGUCAUUGCUAGGAUAAUAUUACACAUGCACUCCAUCUUCCAUUGGCCUGGACAGAUAGAAGUCAGAAGGCACCAAAUCUGGGCUAUACAGUGGGCGUGCUACAACAGUCCAGACAAGAUUGGCAGUAUACAUGACAGUCUUCAGACUGAGCAGAUUCACGUGAAUUUUUGCAAUCAGGAGAAAAAAAAAGCAUUCAAGAAAAGGGCUUUAUGGUAAGAGCAUUUACCACCAAAGUAAUGUGUGUUUCUCUGGAAUUUAGUGCUGAUAGCAUAGCCGAGCAGGUAAUCAAAACUUCUAAAAAGUGGAGUACGCACCUUGACAUCAGCAUAAAACGCAUUCCUAAGUAAUAAAGAUUUUCAGAUGACUGUUCCUUUGGCUGUUGAAACAGAGGCAGCUGGACUUCAGAAAGGCGGCCUGAUGUUUGUUUUCUGGUACACUGCUCCUUCAUCCUGCUGGGACAUACCAUAUCUAUCGCUUGUGGAAAAGAACGCCCUGCCCACAACGCACUGCUAGUGCCAGGGCAGGGGAGGAAAGCCCCGUGACACCUGAUGGAGCUACUGCCAAGCCCUGGGAAGGGCAAGACCCAGGACCUGGGAUGUUGGGAUUAAGGCUGGGUGCCAUCACCCUGAGCCCGGGCUGUGCGGUGCCAGAGUGGCUGUGCUGGCAGAGCCUCCUAGCAGAGCUGCAGCGCUGGCUGCAGGAGGACAGCUGUAAAUCUCAGAGGAAGUUGCACCAUCUCUCCUCGUGACAGAAGCUUGGCAGAAGUGCCUCACCCACCCUGCUCGUGGAGGCAGAGCCGGCAGAGCCAUUGUGUCAGCACAGCGUGUGCAGGGGGGGCUGCGACUUCCCUGCCCUGCACACAGGCCUGGCACGGUGCAGGCAUUUGGGAAGAACCCAGCAGAGCGUGCAUGGGCUGAGGGCCGUCCCCAGAUUCUCCUAGAUUACCGAAUAGCAGCAUGGAGCUGUGUUUUGAAAGCACUGCUUCGGUAUAUGUUGGGACAUACUACGUGGUAUCUUGGUCUGUCUGCACAUGGUGCGUAUUUGCACGAACCUUAACGAGACUGACAAAAGUAAGAGGCAAGUUUAAAGAAAAUUGCACUAAAUGACUUAAUUCUCCAUAGUUGAAGGCUUUAAAUUUUAAUCAAGUCUUGAGUCUGAGACUAAUAACUUAGAGUGAAGGUUUAAAGUGACUAAAAUUUAAAACUAAACAUGUAUAUCUAAUGUGCAUUGGCACCCAUGUGUUUGCAUAGCAGCAGUUCCCAAAAGUAUGCACACUGAAACGACAGAUUUCAAAGGCCAGCACAGGCCUUGCCCAAAGCUCUGGGUUGGGGUUCGCUGUGUUUUGGCCCAGCUGUGCCUCAGCCAUUGCCCUGUGCUCAUGUAAAUCCCAAGGCCCGUGUGCUGUGCAACGCCUUAAUGAAACACUUUGGUCAUUAUGUUCACAAAGAUGGGGCACUGCAGUGCCACCUCCAGCCAUGCUUAAUGUGCAGGACAGACAAAAGGCUGUUAAAUUCUCUGCUGUCCACCUGAAAUACAAUCUUUACAGGAAAAAAAAUAAAACAACCAACAUGGGACAGGUGGUUUGGAUUCCAGUCUGUUAGGCCUCUUGCCACAACGCCUUCUGACCUGUUGAGUACUUGAUAAAUAAUGUAAAGUCUCUGGAUUUCAAAGCUUCUUUCAUUUGGGGUUUCUUUUCCACGUGGCUCCUAUAUGUCAGAGGGACUUUGCAUUAGUCCAAAAUAGAUUGCUGACAGACAGUAGAACUUGUGGAACCCUGGGUCCCUGCAGCUAGCUCGUGCCAUACUUAAGAUCCUUCUCAGACAGGGUUCUUCUCACAGGUAUUCCACAUGAAAUAUCUUCUCAUACAUCAGGUUAUCUGCAUGCCUGGGAAAGAAUUCGGCUGUGAGGGCAGGUGUCAGGCGCUGGCAGUCCAGCUGCCUCCAGAAUGAGUGAAAAGCUGAAUCACAGAUAAUUCCCCACAUGUGCAGCGGUGUGUGCCUGGGGUUAAUUCAUUCUCCUGGUCGCUAUUCAUACCUGUUAACCACACAGCAGGUGCUGGCACCAGCAGCAUGUACAUGAAAGUGAGCAGGGCUGUUGGGAACUGCCUGUGCUGGACAUUUUGUUCAUUGUCAUGAGAUAAUGAGGGAUUGCCUUGGCCCAGUGAAAGGUAUUUGCAUUUGUUAAUUGGAGAAAUGGCAAUAAAACCCUGUAAGCAUUAUUUUCUUGGAUUUGCAUAUCUGAAAAGGAUCGGGAGAAUGCUUUCGUGAUAAACAAUAAGAAACUUCUAAUUGCUCAGUUUUGAAUGUAUGCAGUGUUGACUGCAACUUUAAUAAUCUUAGUGAAGUCAUCAUCAUUUUAUAAGGAUGUUGUAGCGCAUUUGCAAGUGUGUUGUGACCUUUAGAUAUGACUAAUGUAGAACUAUGUAAAUAUAAACUAAUUGAUGUUUGCCUAAUAGAGUAAAAUAUUCUAGAAGAGCUGUGAAGUACACAUAUAUAAAAUAUAAAUAUAAAAUAAAAUAUAUAAAAUAUAAAAGCUAAACAGUUUGAGUUUUGGUGUGCUUAAGCAAUCAUUUGUUAUGCUAAAAGAAAUAAUCACCUUCCCCAAGAUGACGCCUUCACUUUGUGUGGGAUGGCUCGUCCUGUCGGGGCAAAGAUGCUGUGUCCUUAACAGGGAUGAUGACCUCUAGCAAUGCCUUGCUUUCAGUCUACUUUUGGAGUUAUGUGGGAAAUGAUCAGUCCCACGUGAGGCUAGCAAAGGUAGCAAACGUCCAUUAAAUUUCAUCCACUCUCAUCUGAAUCUGAUGGUCAGAAGUCUUCACUAACUCCAUGUUAUCCCUGGACUAUCAUCUCCACUGCUCUAAAUUUGGUGGAAAUUGUCCAACAGGUUGAAAAAUCACCAGGGAAAGAGGGGUAACAGUUAAGUGAGUUGGUGUGUUUGCAUAAGCCUCAUUUCUUUAGGGCAUCAUACAACAAAGUUAAGAGCCUGCUGGAUGUUGGCGUCUGCAAUAUUCAACAGUACAGAUAUUCUGUUUCACUGCUAAUGUUACUGCCUGUUUGUGGGGGGGGGGAAGCAGUUUGCUUAACAACACAGUUCUAAUUAGUCUUCAUCACGUGUGGCAUUUUGUUUAGAAAACAUGUAAAAGUUAAAGCAAAUAUAGUCUACCUCAUGUUGUCUGUGGUUAGCAUUUCUGAUCAGAACAUCCAGUUCUUUCUUCUCUCUUUCCUUUUAGAAUUAUGUUUUUAUUUCAACAGUGCUUUCUACCAGCAGGCAAAGCUGCUGUUACACUCUACCCAGCUGUGAAAUCAAUAUGAUUUUCAUUACAAAGAUAACAGAAACUCUCUUAGAAAGACUGUGAAUUGCCAAAGGUCAAAUAACAGUCAGUGGCAGAGCUUAGAAUUUAGAUGUCCUAAUUAAAAAAUCUUGUGGUAUAAAUAUAUUAAUGAAAUGCACCCUGAGAAAUGUUUGCGUUUAAGAUGGCAACGCUUUUACGCCAUUGCGUUGUUCCUUUAAUUACUGUGUGCAUGUGAGUCCUAUGAAAACGUUAUAACUCUUCCUCCACAACAUGACCAGCUCUCAUAAAAUAGGUGCUCAGUUCCAGUUUCCUCCUUUAAUUCAC